CUUAAGACCUCAUAACAAUUAAUGGUCCAAGUGUUAUUGCUGCAUUGCCAAAAUGAGUUGGAGAUACAGGUUUAUAGAUGUGAAUUUGACUGUGCACUAAUGUUUUGAAAUAUGUUGUGUACUAAUUGUGACAGAGAAUGAAAGGUGACCUGAUAGAGGUGUACAAGAUGAUGAGAGGCACUGAUCAUGCAGAUACUCAGAGACUUUUUCCCAUGGCUGAGAUGGCUAGCACAAGAGGGCAUAGUUUUAAGGUGAUUGAAAGUAGGUACAGAGGAGAUGUCGGAUAAGUUUUUUACUCAGUGGUGAGUGCGUGGAAUGGGCUGCCGGCAACGGUGGUGGAGGCGGAUACGAUAGGCUCUUUUUUUUCCACUCUUUUUUUAUUAACUUUUUUUAUGAGUUUCUACAAUGUGACAAAACAAAAAAACAGUAAAAAAAAAGUUUAUACAGUGCAAAACAAACGUAUCAGAUGUACAGUUCAUAACAAGUAAGAAAAAGCACCCAUAGUAGAAUCGUAUAAAGUUAGUUACCACCCCACCCUCCCACUACCCAACUCCAAGCCAACCUUACAAUAUAUAAAAAAAGUUAAUCAGAACUUUAUCACCACAGAGCUGUAUUUAUAAAAAGAAGGUAUAUUGCCUACUACCUAAUCUAUGAUAUGUUUACACAUUAAAAACCCAUAAAUCUUAACCGUAAGAAGCUGGAAGUAAGGGAUUUAAAUGUAAAAGAAAAAAGGGAGGGAUGCACCCUUAAUCUAAAUGGGAAUUAUGAAAAUAUUCAAGAAAAGGUCCCCACACCCUUUGGAACUUUAUGUCCGAAUUAAGAUGUGAAUAAUGAAUCUUCUCAAGGUCUAAGCAGGACAUAAUGUCUCUGAGCCAUUGAGCAUGAGUGGGUGGGGCAGCAUCUCUCCACCUAAGAAGGACUGCACGUCUGGCCAAAAGAGAGGCGAAAGACAAUGUACCACGCUUAGUCGGAGUCAGAUGCAUGUCAACUUCUCCUGAAGUACCAAAAAGAGUAACCUUGGGUUAGGUUCCAAGUAGCAAUUAAGUAUAUGAGAUAAAGUUUAAAAAAAAGUCUCUCCAGAAUUUCUGCAAGCCAGGACAAGCCCAAUACAUAUGAGUAAGAGAAGCCUCGCCCCCUUAACACUUAUCGCAACAGGGACUAAUAUCAAGAUAGAACCGCGAUAAUUUAGUUUUAGACAAAUGAGCCCUGUGUACCACCUUGAACUGUAAAAGGCAGUGGCGAGCACAUAGAGAAGUUGAAUUAACUGACUUGAGAAUUUAAUCCCAAACCACAUUGGACAAAGGAAAACUUAUUUCAUUUCAUUUUUCAAUCUUUUUGAUUGAUUUCCAAAUAAAGAAUAUACAAAUUGGAAGAAGAGUUUAACAAGUUGAUAAUACAAAAGACAUAUAAACAGCAAUAGUAAAAACAAAAAGUAUAUAAUAUCAAAAUCAAAUAAGUAAAAUAUUAUGCUGUUAUAUAUACAAUGGUAAAAAAACUAUAACUCCUCAGAACAAUCAUAAAAAAACAUUGGAAAUUUUAUUGAUAAGCAAAAAAAAAACCACUAACUAAACUGAAACAAAAAACAAAAAAAAAAGAAAGAGAAAAAAAGGAAAGAGAAAGAAAGAUUGGGUAGUCCAAUUGAGGAUAAAAUUAGAAAAAACAGAGAGAGAGAAUAAAACACAUCCUUCCAGUCAUUCCGAACUUUCAUGGAUAAGGAUUUUUCCCAAAGAGAAUUAAGAAAAAUAAAUAAAUAAAAAUAAAUUAAAUUAUGUGAAAACGUUGAAUAAAAGGUCGCCAGAUUUGUUCAAAAUUAAAGGAUGGAUCAAAUAUCCGGUUCUAAUUUUCUCCAAGCUUAGACAUGACAUAAUGGAGGAGAGCCAAUAGAAAACAGCAGGUGGGUUAGAUUCUUUCCAAUGUAGCAAAAUAGCUCUCCUAGGGAGUAAAGUUGAAAAAGCUAUCACAUGUUGGGCGGAAGCAGACAGUUUGCUUGCUUCCUCUGGAAUAAUCCCAAAAAUUGCUGUAAGUGGAUUAGGUUGAACAUCCAUAUCUAUAACUUUAGAUAAUAUUCCAAACACAUCCCUCCAAAAAAGGAAAAUUUAAAUCAUGCUCCCAGGCAGUUUUAAUUUUUAUCAAAGGAGGCUUGCCUCAACAUCGCUAACAUAUCUCGAAUAGUAGAAAUUAAACCUUUACCCAAUGGGUUCAUAAUAAGAAACAAAUCAACAACAUUUUUAUCAGGUACCUCAGGAAAGUUUGGUACUAAAGGGUUGAUAAAAUGUCUAAUUUGGAGAUAUCUAAAGAAAUGAGUGUUAGGUAGGCCAAAUUUACAGACAGUUGUUCAAAAGUUGCAAAGCACUUAUCUAUGAAAAGAUCUUCAAAGCACCUAAUGCCCUUUCUGUGCCAGUCUAGAAAUGUUAAGUCCUGCAUAAAGGCUGAAAAAAAUGAUUAUGUAGAAUAGGACUAGAGAGAGAGCGAAAUUGUGAAGCCCGUUAUGUUUUCUGAUCUGAGCCCAUAAUCUCAGAGUGUGUCUAAUGACUGGAUUAACAAUUGAUUUAGGCAAAUAGCAAGGAAGUGCAGAUCCAAGAAGAGCGGAGAUGGUGAGUUUCUUAUUAGAGUUCAACUCCGUUGCCACCCAUAUUGGGCAGUCAGACUGAUUAUAAAAGUAAGACCAAAAGAUAAGACAAUGUAUGUUGGCUGCCCAGUAAUAUAAAUGAAAAUUAGGCAAGGCCAUACCACUUACCCUUUUAGGUUUCUGAAGGUGAGCUUUAUUUAUUCUGAGACAUUUGCCCUUCUAUAGAUAAGACAAAAUAAUAGUAUCUAACGAGUCAAAAGUGCUUUUGAAAUAAAAAUUGGUAAAGAUUGAAAUAAGUAUAAAAAUUUAGGAAAGAUAUACAUUUAAACAACAUUAAUUUGACCUAUCAGAGACAUGGACAAGGGUGACAACUGUGCUAAACUCUGCAUGAUUUAAAAUAAUGAAAUUUUCUCCAAAAAGAUGCUUAUAAUUUCUUGUUACUGUAAUGCCAAGGUAAGUAAAUCGAUUAUUUACUACUUUAAAAGGGAGGUUACGAAAUUUUAAUAAUUGUGCUUCUCUAUUUAUUGGAAAGAAUUUGCUGUUAUGUAAGUUAAGUUUGUAUCCGGAAAGCUGGCUAAAUUUGUUAAGGAGUGGAAACAUUGGGGAUAAGGAGGUAGUCAGGUUUGAUAUAAAAAGUAAAAGAUCAUCAGCAUAAAGAGAAACUUUGUGCUCAACACCCUCCCUCCCUCCCUUGCUGGGUGCCAAGUUUAAGAUUGGGAUUGUUGAGAGUUAGUCAAGACAGAAGUAGUGGGGUGUGAAUAUAACAAUUUAAUCCAUGUGAUAAAACUUUUUCCAAAAUCAAAUUUUUCUAAAACCACAAAAAGAUAAUUCCACUCCAUACAAUCAAACGCUUUCUCCACAUCUAGAGAAAUGACACAUUCAGGAAUCCCAGCUGAAGGUGAGUAUAAGAUAUUAAAUAGAUGCCGUAUAUUAAAAAAAGGGAGACAAUUUUUAAUAAAACCAGAUAGGUCUUCAGAAAUAAUUAAGGGUAGAAUGUUCUCCAAAGUACAUGCCAAAACUUUAGCCAAAAUUUUAACAUCAACAUUUAGCAAAGAAAUCGGCCUGUAUGAGGAACACUCUGUUGGAUCUUUACCUUUUUUCACUAAAAGAAUGAUGCAUGCCUCAUUCAAUGCUGCUGGUGAUUUACCAUGUUUAAACGGGUCAGUUAAAACUAACAUUAGUUGAGGCGAAAGCAGUGAGGAAAAUGAUUUAUAGAAUUCUGCAGAGAACCCAUCAGGCCCAGGAGAUUUACCAGACUGCAGUACAGAAAUAGCUGAGGAUAUUUCCUCUAGUGAUAAUGGUUCAUUCAAUUUUGCUUUAAGAUCAGGAGAAAGCUUAGGAAUAUUUAAACUAUUUAAGAAAAGCUCGACAGAAAUUGUGUCAUUUAGAAAUUCAGAAGUAUAGAGUUGAGAAUAGUAAUUCUGGAAUGUGUCAUUAAUUUCAGAAUGAUUCAAGGUAAUGUUCCCAUUUUCCAUUCGAAUUUUUGUGAUAUGUUGUUUAACUUUAGAGCACUUUAGUUGGUUGACUAAAAGUUUACCAGAUUUAUCACCAUGGAUAUAAAACCGGUUCUUACUUUCCAAAAGUUGGCAUUCAAUUGGGUGAGUGGAAAUAAGGUCAAACUUAAUUUAAAGUUCCACUCGUUUCUUAUACAGCUCUAGAUUUUUGGUCUGGGCAUAUAGUCGGUCUGUUGCUUUAAUUUGAUUGAUCAGAUCUAAUCACUCUUUAUGGGUCUUUCUAUUCAAAUUCACAGUAUAUAAAUUUUUUUGACCUCUUAGGUAUUCUUUUAUAUCAUCCCAAACAACCUGACUUGAGGUUUCAGAUGACGUGUUAGUAUUUUUUUUAAAAAGUUAUCUGGUCCUCCAUAAAUUUUACAAACUCAUUAUCCAACAACAAAGUCAAAUUAAGACACCAACGUUUAUUCAUUUGGGGGAAACCAGGAAGAAUUAUAGACAUGGUGACUAGGGUGUGAUCUGAAAUCAAUAUAUCUGAAAUCCGAUAGUCAUCAUAUACUCCAAUGGAAUCAGCUGAUUAUCAAUUAAAAAAUAAUCAAUUCUCAUGAAAGUAUGAUGGACAUGUGAAAAAAAGAUCUCUCACAUUUGGAUGGAGAAUACACCAUACAUCAGAGAUACCAUAAAUAGAAAGGACAGACUGAAUUGAUAAAUCAGAUUUACUUGGUAAUCUAGGAAUAGAGGACAAUCGAUCCAAAACUGGAUCCAACCAACAAUUAAAAUCACCGCCCAAUAUGAGAGAAUAUGAACUCAGCUCAGGCAAUAAAGAGAAGAAACAAUCAAAAAACUCCACAUCAUCCGAAUUGGGAGCACAUAAGUUAGCCAAGACUACCAGUGUGUUGUACAAUCUCCCUGAGACAAUAAUAAAAUGACCAUUUGUAUCAGAUACUUUGUUAUGAAGCUCAAAGGGAACAAUUUUGAUUUAUAAGAAUUGAACCCUGCCCCCCCCCCCGGCUUUAGCCUGAAAAGUUAAAUAAAAGUGCUGCCCCACCCAUCUUGACAUAAGACAAGAUUUAUCAGAACUAUGAAUGUGUGUGUUUUUUUGCAAAAAAGCAAUUGCUGCGUUAAGCUGUUUAAGAUGUGAAAACACCUUCCUUCUUUUAACAGGAUGAUUCAAUCCCUUAACAUUCCAGCUUACAAAACUCAACAGACUAACCAUCGUCCUUUUUAAAAAAAAUAGAGGAUAUUAGGCAUAAGCAUUGUCAGAAAUUCGAGAAAUAGUCCUGGGGCAAAAGUAUAAAACAAGAAAAACAGGACAGAAAUACAUCCUGAAUAAUACAAAUGUCUAAAGAUUCUAUGAAUAAUAUUGGUGUUACAGUUCCUUCCCCCCUCGCACCCCACGGCAAGAGAGCUACCGAAAAGCAGCAGCCUCUUCAAAAGAAAAUCACUCCAUAAUCCUACUUCCUGUUUCUUAACAUCAUCAUCAGCUCCAUUUUGCAUCAAUUACAAAAAAGAAAACUUUUAGCUCUACAAACUAAAAUUAUACAUAGUGAAAAGAAAAACCAUUCCACCAAAAUUUGUUAAGCUUAACUCAAGGUAAUAAUCCAAAAAAAAUGAACUAGUGUAUAAGAAAAAAUAUAAAAACAAGUAAACAGAUUUUACCCAAUAACCUACCCACAAGAAUCUGUGAAAAACGAAUUUACUGACUUUAGAGAGAAAGGUUAAGAAAAAAAAUCAGAAGAUAAAAAUGCUUCUCCACCGAUAUAAGUAAUUAGACCAAACCAGAGGGAGUCAAAGCCUUAGGGAGGUCAUCGAUAAAUUUCUGAGCUCCUGAAGCCGAGUUAAACCACUUUUUGCCUCCACUAGUAAGAACUAUUUGGAGGCGAGCUGGAAAUCAAAAGGAAGGCCUGAAUCCGCAAUUAUAUAAUUCUUUCAUGACUCCUUUAAACUUGGCUCGCAGACUCAGAACUUGGGGAGCAUAGUCCUCGACCACACAAAUUGGUUGUCCCUUAAAUUCUAACUUCCCUCUCUGACAGGCUUCCUUAAUGAGGAGAUCUUUAAUAUGGUAGCGAUGAAAACAAAUAAUUACUGGACAUGGCCUAUGUCCCAUCUCCAGCAUAGGCCCAAAAGUACGGUGAGCUCUGUCUAUCUCAGGAAGAGUCAAAAGUAUAUCAUUCCCAAAAUUCUCACAUAGCAGAGUAGAUAAAAAUUCAGCGGGAGACCCAUGUUCGAUAAUUUCUGGCAAGCUGAGAAUACAUAGAUUUUGACGUCUGCUCUGACUUUCCAAAUCAGUAACUUUGGAUAAUAGCUUGCUGUUAUGAUCUUUCAAUUCGGAGCAAACGCUUUCCAGCUCUUUAAAACGGUGGUCUAACAUAUCCAUGGCAGACUCGAGAUGUGAGCAUGAUCCUCCACUAUGGAUUGAAUCUGAUCCAAUUUCAAAUUCACCAAACUGAUAGAAGACUGAAAUUCGGCCAUUAUUUCCUGUUGGUGCUGCUCCAAAAUCGAGAUAAUGUUUUCGCCUGAGGGGCCAGCUGCAGGAACUUUUUUCUUCCCCGAUUUGGUGGUCUUUGAAGCCAUCGUAAAACAGGCAUAUUCGCAGGCAGAAGGGAGAAUAAAAAGUUUAACAGUUUGGAGUGAAAAAAAGGAAGAGGAGGAGUGCGGAGAUAAGAAAUAAAACGGAGUGAUAGCUUUUAUCAGCUAAACCAUCGCUAUCUUAACCGGAAGUCCGUAUAGGGUCUUUUAAGAGACUUCUGGAUAGGUACAUAGAGCUUAAUAGAGGACUAUGGGUAAUUUCUAAGAUAAUAAAAUGUUCAGCACCGCUUUGUGGGCCAAAGGGCCUGUAUUGUGCUGUAGGUUUUCUAUGUUUCACACAACUUUUAUAAUUGAGAUUUCAUGUUGGUCAAUUAUUAUUUAUAUUUUGGUUUGCAUUUUUUAAAUCGUUGCUCCCUUUCACACGAGGCACAUCGUUCAUUGUGGUCUUUGGCCUUUCUCCUUUAGGCUUUAUAUGGGAGAUAGAUAAAGGGCCAGGAUUGCUCAUGAACCAUACCUCAAACCAAAAUGCGUGAAAGAAAAGGCAAAAAUAAACCAAAAAGUAACCAUUAAUUGGUAUUUUAAGUCAGUUUGUGAUAGAUAGGGAAGAUGAAAGGAGGUAAGUUUUCCCAUAGUUUCAAGGUUCUGAAACUGACAAAUUAGACAAGGAGCAAUGCAGUAAAUCUGAAAUAAUCUCCUGAGAUUUCAAUGUCAUAAUCCUGGGUUACGUGUCAAAAAUUAACAAGUGUAGUUGAGGAUUGAAGUUACAGAAAAUAGGCAAGGACAUCCAAGCUUUCAAAUUGUGAAAUUACAUUAAAGAAAGGUGUUAUAAAAAGAAGUGGAGAGGAUUGGGUGUCAAGGUGGUGUGACAGCUAGUACGGCACUAUCACAGCUCAGUGUAUUCUGGAGUUCAGAGUUCAAUUCUGGUGCCGAUCUGUAAGGAGUCUCUGUACAUCCUCCCUGUGGAAUGUGUGGGUUUUCUAAGGUGCUCUGGUUUAUUCCGACGGUUCAAAGACAUACCAGAGUGGCAAGAGUUGACACAGAGUCUUGAAGCAAUAUACCUUUGCUGUUUUGAGUUUUGUCACUAUGGAUACCCAAAGGUGUAAGUGGCUGGAAGACUGCAAACUGAAAAUGAAUCACUCAACCCAAUGCUGAGAGGGAAAAUCGGGCAAUGAAAAUGUUAAAGGAGUCAGCCACAGCUUGCACAAACAUCAGGUCAAGGGUUCAACAGAGGUCACCGCACUACAAAAAAUGGAAACUACAAUAUUCUCAAAAAUAAUUCCUUCCAGAGGAUGAAAUCUCAAUGUGAGCACUGUCAUGAGUGUCAAAAAAAGGAGAACUGAACAGUCCGGACCAGGAGAAUAUUUGAAGUUAAUUCCCACUUUAGUUCUAUGAUCAGUAACUUGCAUUUUGGUCUGUAGAGUUAAAGAACAGGGUAGACAGGUUAGAAAAGGAAGAAAACUGUUAAUGUCCUCUGGUGUUCAAACUCAAGAUCUGGAAAUACCUUGUGUCUCUUCAUAUCCUCAUUAAUCAUUAUGCUGGAUUAAUUACCUACUCGUGUUAUCAAAUUGAAAUGGCAAACUUUAACCUAUUGAUUGUUUUGAUAACUGGUUGAGAGGCAACUUCUCUGCAGUCACCACCAAUAUAAUAAAUAACAAAAAAAAUGUUAAGAUUGUCCAGUGCAACCAAAUGGGAAACCAAUUUGAUGAACCCUGCUAUUGAGCAUCUCCUUGUUCAGAGGGGUAGCAAUGCCAUCACUGGAUUUAGAAUUUCUCAGUUAACAUAGUUCCUUUGUCAAUAUUUUUUAUCACGUAACUGAAUACCGGGCUAUUGUCAGUGAGGUCACUCUCUCCCCCCACCUCCCACCCCCAG
Long non-coding RNA from Hypanus sabinus (Atlantic stingray), 8418 nucleotides. RefSeq lists it as uncharacterized. The record is from RefSeq and is a predicted model, not a curated record. NCBI's taxonomy places the organism in Eukaryota, Metazoa, Chordata, Chondrichthyes, Myliobatiformes, Dasyatidae. The transcript is spliced from 2 exons.